GGUGGUUCUGAACCGUAAUGUGUGUGCGGGAAAACUGGCCUGGGGCACUCGAAUUAACUUGCACGUAAUCCGGUGAAUUUUCACAGACUGCACACAAGGACUAGACAGCAGAAGCUUAGAGAAACCCCAGGAAUCCCUUUGUGCUCUGUUCCAGCCUGUCCAAGGUUCUGACACCUCAUGGUACAUCUCCUGCUCAGCCAUCCUCAGAUGGAAGUCUGCUCCUCAUCUGUUCCUGCCCAAAAGCCUGUUCAAGUCUUGAGGAGCCGUCCUCGAUGCUGCUGGCGGAGCCUGAGUGAGACCCAGUGCCUCCGGGGUCAGGCCUGAAUCAGAGACACUGCAGCCCGGGACAGCCGCAUCAGUUACCUUGCCCUUCUGGAAAUGUGUAGGCGCGGUCCUCUUCUUGGGCAGUCUGGAAGUCUACCCCUCGGGCCUCGGCUCCUGUUCCAGAGGAGCAGAAACGCUCUUUGGUGAGUUGGGCGCGAUGGCCUUGCUGUCGUCACGGGGUAGGUGGGGCCUGGGGUGCAGAUAGCAGGCAAGGGGUGUGCAUGUGAGGGGUGGAGGGGAGAGGAGGAGGAGAGAGGCGGCCAAGGGAGAUUCGGGAGGAGAGAGGAAGGGGGGAGAAGGAAAAGGUGGCGUGAAGGUGGGGUGGCGUGGAAGGAAGGGGAAGGAAGGCGUGUGGGGCAGCGUUGAGGGAGGGCGAGUGUGACAGGAGUGCUGGUGGGCGGGUGGAGGCGGGGGUUGGGAGAGGAAGAACUUUUCCCACGGCCCGGGUUCCGUUUUGGGGGUUUCCUGGCCCUGGCCGGAAUCAGUCUUGGCCGCGUCCGUGAGAAGCGGCCUUGACUCCCGGCCUCUCUUCUCUGGGUGGUUCUGAACCGUAAUGUGUGUGCGGGAACACUGGCCUGGGGCACUCGAAUCAACUCGAGGUGAUCGUACUGCUG
This 938-nucleotide long non-coding RNA is filed under the name Oryctolagus cuniculus (rabbit). RNAcentral describes it as "lncRNA (ENSOCUG00000039463.1)". The record is from RNAcentral. Lineage: Eukaryota; Metazoa; Chordata; Mammalia; Lagomorpha; Leporidae.